GAUGAACGCUGGCGGCGUGCCUAAUACAUGCCAGUCGAGCGAACGGACGAGAAGCUUGCUUCUCUGAUGUUAGCGGCGGACGGGUGAGUAACACGUGGAUAACCUACCUAUAAGACUGGGAUAACUUCGGGAAACCGGAGCUAAUACCGGAUGAUAUUUUGAACCGCAUGGUUCAAAAGUGAAAGACGGUCUUGCUGUCACUUAUAGAUGGAUCCGCGCUGCAUUAGCUAGUUGGUAAGGUAAUGGCUUACCAAGGCAACGAUGCAUAGCCGACCUGAGAGGGUGAUCGGCCACACUGGAACUGAGGCACGGUCCAGACUCCUACGGGAGGCAGCAGUAGGGAAUCUUCCGCAAUGGGCGAAAGCCUGACGGAGCAACGCCGCGUGAGUGAUGAAGGUCUUCGGAUCGUAAAACUCUGUUAUUAGGGAAGAACAUAUGUGUAAGUAACUGUGCACAUCUUGACGGUACCUAAUCAGAAAGCCACGGCUAACUACGUG
This 497-nucleotide ribosomal RNA is filed under the name uncultured bacterium. RNAcentral describes it as "partial 16S ribosomal RNA". It matches the Rfam family "Bacterial small subunit ribosomal RNA", at positions 28 to 507 of the family's 1533-position model. The record is from RNAcentral.